This is an RNA transcript of Rhododendron vialii, 1647 nucleotides long. RefSeq lists it as uncharacterized. The transcript has 5 exons. The record is from RefSeq and is a predicted model, not a curated record. Lineage: Eukaryota; Viridiplantae; Streptophyta; Magnoliopsida; Ericales; Ericaceae.
UCUACUUUCCCCUUCUCUCUCUCCGACCGAUUUACUCCACCACCACGCCAUUGUUUCUUCAUCUUCUCUCUCUCUUCUCUCUCUCUCUCUCUCUCUCUCAGGAAAUCCUCAACGCUAUGAAGCCUGUGCUUCUUGAGUCAGAGAUGAUCAGGAAUGUUGAGUUCGAGAGAUUUCGGCUUUGGCAAGAUUAUGGUUGUUCCGGCCUCUGUUCUCCUCCUUCACUCCCCCAUAGCGUCACACUCUCGCACACCACACCGUCCACCCCAACUUCUUACCGAAAGCAUUUCACGGCAUCAGUGGUCGACGGUUAGCGGGGCCACUGCAUUGGGUUCGUUGGUGGAGGAAUUGGAAAAUAUGUGAUGUCGAAUAAGGGUUUCAGGGAAUAUAAGAAUAUUGAUUGUUGAUUUGAUUCAGGCAAGCUUGGCUCCCCGAUCCUGUUCUCUUUUAUUCACUGUCGGCAUGCAACAGCUUCGAAUGAGUAUUGAUUUAAUGCAGCCCAAGCAUGGAUUCUUAUGGUAUAAACCUAAUUUUCAGACAAUAUACUCUUGGGAGUGUGACAGAACAAGGAUGACUUGCAUAAGAAUGAAGAGUGUCUACCUCAAUAAGUUUCACGCGACUCUCGGUUAAGCCAUCCACUUGUUUCGGAACUACUGCUGCUGCUAUACUUCGAGCUGUUUACGCUACCAUCAUUCUUGCUGCCAUUGUGGAGGAAACUUGUUUUGCUGUCAUUGUGGAGGAAAUCUGAUCAGAGACAUCCAUUGUUUUCAUUGUUCCUGGCUACCACAAUUGAUGGAGAGCCAGUCAUUUCAACUUUCAUUGGUGUCUCAAUUACACAUCAUUGAAAAUUGUAUUUUUCUUUUGUGGGUGUACGUACUUUAUGGCUGGAACCUUGCCAACUAUUUAUGGUGUGGUCUUUAUGGGGCUUUGGGAUGGCAUAUGAUUGUCGGGCAUGUGGAGUGCCAACAUAGUUGGGAUACCAUUCUCCCGUUGUGAUGCCUUAUAUCCCUUCCCUUGUCCUGUACUCCUUACUUCGUUAUUAAUAAAAUUGUUUAUGCCUUUCAAAAAAAUAAUAAUAAUGAUGUUAGCCCAUUCUAAUGUUUUAUUUGGUAGAAUUUUAAGUUCCCAAGAAUGAAACUCAAAGGAAUUGACUGGGGCCCGCACAAGCAGUGGAUCAUGUGGUUUAAUUCGAUGCAAAGCGAAGAACCUUACCAGGGCUUGACAUGCCAUGAACCCUCUUGAAAGAGAGGGGCGCCUUCAGGAACGCAGACACAGGUAUAACAUAUGCUGCAAGGUUGUACAGAGACUGAUUGACCAUAGAUGACUCCUUACCAAAUGAAGGAACAACGGACAUCCCCAACGACAACAAAUAGUCAACUCCUUCCAUCAACUUCACAGAAACUAGAACCACAACUCCAAGGCAAACCCUUUGACCUGCAGAACUCCCAAUCCAAAUUCUUGUGUACUUGAAACUCUCCAUUAAACUUAUGCAGCCUAAUUCUAUUAGGCCUUUUGUAAUCGAAGUCCUUCAGCCUAAUUUUGUUAGGCCUUUUGUAAUCAUAAAUAUGUCGUACUUAUGUAUAAAUAAACCUCUUCAUCAAACUUAUUUAUAUGUCGUUCAAUGGGCAUGACAGACGUGCAAGGCACGUC